GAUGAACGCUGGCGGCGUGCCUAAUACAUGCAAGUCGAGCGAACAGACGAGGAGCUUGCUCCUCUGACGUUAGCGGCGGACGGGUGAGUAACACGUGGAUAACCUACCUAUAAGACUGGGAUAACUUCGGGAAACCGGAGCUAAUACCGGAUAAUAUAUUGAACCGCAUGGUUCAAUAGUGAAAGACGGUUUUGCUGUCACUUAUAGAUGGAUCCGCGCCGCUUUAGCUAGUUGGUAAGGUAACGGCUUACCAAGGCAACGAUGCGUAGCCGACCUGAGAGGGUGAUCGGCCACACUGGAACUGAGACACGGUCCAGACUCCUACGGGAGGCAGCAGUAGGGAAUCUUCCGCAAUGGGCGAAAGCCUGACGGAGCAACGACGCGUGAGUGAUGAAGGUCUUCGGAUCGUAAAACUCUGUUAUUAGGGAAGAACAAAUGUGUAAGUAACUAUGCACGUCUUGACGGUACCUAAUCAGAAAGCCACGGCUAACUACGUG
RNAcentral lists this ribosomal RNA (497 nucleotides) under uncultured bacterium. RNAcentral describes it as "partial 16S ribosomal RNA". It matches the Rfam family "Bacterial small subunit ribosomal RNA", at positions 28 to 507 of the family's 1533-position model. The record is from RNAcentral.